This 2686-nucleotide long non-coding RNA is filed under the name Homo sapiens (human). Its description in RNAcentral is "HSALNT0343875". Lineage: Eukaryota; Metazoa; Chordata; Mammalia; Primates; Hominidae. The record is from RNAcentral.
CUAGCCUCCAAGACAGCCCCGCCGCCAGAACAGCCUCUCCUCCAGGACCGGCCAGCCUACGAGAGAGCCCCGCCUACGGUACAACCCGCCUCCGGGACCGCAGGACUCCACCUCCGAGACAGCUCAGUCCCCAGGACAGUCCCGCCUCCGAGACGGCCCCGCCUCCAGGACGGCCCCUACCUCCGAGACCGCCCCGCCUCCGGGACCGCCCCGCCCCGCCUCGCCUCCGACACGUCCCCCGGGCGCCACUGCAGAGCCUGUCCGUCAGUCCCUAGGUAUCCGCACUGCUCAGGGGAGGAUUCCCUGGGAGCACCCACCAGCUGAGAUCUGCACAUCAGCCACAAUCCUCUCAGGACGGCGGAAAGGGAAGGGCUCAGCCGCCAGCCUGGCCACAGCCUGCAUCAUCUCAUCCCAGAGGCGGAGCACAGGCUCGGGGUCCUUCAGGGCCUGAAGGUUUGUGGUUGGCACUGUCAGGAUGAUGUUGUCCGUGGCCAGCUCUCCCCAGGGAGCCAGGUUCUCCUGCAUCUGCCUCUUCCACUCCUCCAGCGAUGUCUUACCUGGGAAUAAAUAUCAUGGAACCUACCACACCCACUUCUCCAACUUCCCUUGAGCUGAAAAAUACCAUUUGAACUCUGGAAGAACAUUGCAAUAAUGAACUACUAUCACAGGCGUCUAUAGGCUGUAAAGUGAAGAAAAGGCUUCCUGACUCUUCUCUUUGUCUGCCCUGAAGUCUCCAUGGACACAGGGUAUUCCGUAUCUUCUGCCUCCAUGUUCCCUCCCAACAGUUCUUCCUCUUUCUCUCCACCAAAGCUCAUCCCUCUCCCAUUUAGCAACCACCCCACAGUUCCCACGGCAUCUGCCACUCUUCCUCCUCCCUAAAUGUUCACUCCACUUACCCAGCUUGUAGUAUGGGGCAGGCACAGCUCCCCUGAUAGUGACAGGCACAGGGCCUAGUUGGCUGCCCUUGGGCACGAUGACGUAGAGGAGGCCGCCCCAGAGGCAGGAGACUGACCGCUCAGUCCUGUCCAUCCAGCAUUGGUGAGUCACCACGGGGGCUCGAGAUAGCUUCCUGGCCUUGGUAAGGUCAUCGGUGUGGCAGCCAAUCUGUACCUGGACAGGUGAUUCCACCAAGCGUUGGAGAAAUUAGAGUCUUUGUGAUGCUUUGUGAUGUGCGUGUGAGGUUGUGUAGAUGGAAGGUAUUAGACAAACAUGCCCAUGAAACCCCAGCUUCCCUUUUCUAUGUGCUAGGCAUGGAAACUUAUGAAAUUUUAGCACUCCAAAGUCAUUUGGACUUCAAGGCAUUUAAAAUCAUUUUUCUAAGGAUUUAAACAGCUCCACUAUAAGUCUUCACCUGACAUGAAUUGGUGAGAGACCAGGCUGAUCCUGGCAAAGGUCUUGUGUCUUUCUGCCAGGCAAAAUCCUGGGUUCUUCUAGCAGGACCUAAGCCAGUCUGGGGACGCUGAUAUUGAGGAUGAGCUGGGGGACUCUGCUCUGUCCUCUGUGAACACACAGGAGGCCCAUCCAGAGUGAGUGAGGUUGAUUCUCUCUCCCUCUUUGCCCAGAGCUUCCCUUUCUGGCCGCCAGAUGGGUGGAGAUCUGUUUUGUCUGGAGUCCUGGAGUUGCUUUUCUUAGGUUUGAUAUAAGCAAGCUCCAGAAAGAAUGCUGACAGAAAAGGGACCCUAGCUGUGGUAGGAAGUGGCCCUCAGAGUCAAGGAGGCAGGAUGAAUUUAAAUUCUGCAUGUAGGGCAUAUUUUGGGGAGUGAUGGGAUUAUGCACACCCUUCAGGUGUCAAGAUAAAGAGAUAAAACCAGAGUUUGUGCAGAAUGAGCUUGCUGACACACAGCCUAAAUUUGUACCGCAUGUUUCAUACUAACUCCCUCUGAGUUUGCACAUGGGACCCAUGAGGAGGCAUGAAGAGGUAACUGCCCAUGCCCGAGGAUUUUCCAGCCCUUCCUUUUCUUUCUAUCAAUCACCUACUAAUCACAGAAUCCACUCCCUACACCUUUUCUACUAAAAUAACUCUUUAAAAUAAGUACAAUGGGACAGAUUUGAGCUGGGCUCCUGUCUCCUUGUUAAUCAAAUUGCAAUAAAAUGUUUUCUUUUGUUUUUGUUUUUGUUUUUUUUUUGGUGAAAAACUCAAGUGUCAUAGUUUUGGCUUCUAGUCCAUUCUGCAGUGAGCUUCUCUUGCUUGAUAACACUAGGCACUUCAGUCACUCACUUAGAUGCCCUGAAAUUUAGCUGCUUCAUCUGUAAAAUCUGUAAAAUGGGCAGAAUAAUCCAUCUCUGUACUCCUGGCAGCAUUGCCAUGAGCUGGAACUAGACAGUGGAUGAGAAUGACACAGCUCUACGGUUUUGAGAGGUGGCAGAUGUGGGUGUUCAGACCUUACCCUCAGGCCAGCAGAGGCAGCAGCUUCAGACAGUGAGACUUCUGCAUUUUGUCCUUCCAGGAGGUAGAGCCCGGUACUCACCCAGCAAUCAUUGUUGCCUGACAAAAGUCACAGAGAAGGCUCAGUUCUUCCUUCCUAUGUAAAGGAACGGAAUGUUUAGUCUGAAAGCUUAGAAGGAAGAUGAGGUGCAGCAUGAAGACAAAAGCAAAAUCGGAAAGCUAAAACAGAGGAUUCCCUGGGAGCACCCACCAGCUGAGAUCUGCACAUCAGCCACAAUCCUCUCAGGACGGCGGAAAGGG